UGAAGGUCCAAAGGCAUCCAUGUAUUCAUGUUUCAUAGUGAGAUCCGUAGGUUGUAGUCUGGGGAUUGCGUAGUGCAAGAUAAAGCCAUCUUGAAUUCUUGAUUGCUAGGACAAUGUAACGGCACUCUUGUUUGGUCCCCUUGGAAUAAAACAACGUUACCUAUUUUUCAAUUGGUGGAUUUGCACUGGAUACCGGGUAUCAGACAUCUGAGUGGUUUUGAAGCGGGG
RNAcentral lists this unclassified non-coding RNA (228 nucleotides) under Hevea brasiliensis (rubber tree). Lineage: Eukaryota; Viridiplantae; Streptophyta; Magnoliopsida; Malpighiales; Euphorbiaceae. The record is from RNAcentral.